This is a long non-coding RNA of Hemicordylus capensis (graceful crag lizard), 1776 nucleotides long. RefSeq lists it as uncharacterized. NCBI's taxonomy places the organism in Eukaryota, Metazoa, Chordata, Lepidosauria, Squamata, Cordylidae. The record is from RefSeq and is a predicted model, not a curated record. The transcript has 4 exons.
UUCCUUGGGCACCGUCAAAGACAUGGAGGCCUCCAGUGAGGAGGGGGAGGAAGCUCUCCAGUAGAAGAUAUCUCGCAGCUUGUACGGUGUUGAUGGGAUGACUCAGAAAUAGGAGGAGAUUGCAGGGCUACAGUUGUAGUGAGAACCUUCUCUCACAGAAGUUCUUGUAGAUGUGAGGCCCUGUUCCUCCUGGCCUGUCUUGUGAAGGCCUUACAGAUGGGGCACAAAUUGGUGUGAUGGGCCUCCCCCACACACGCAAAGCAGCUGUCAUGUCUGUCAGAAGCCGAUUGCUUCUCUGAGCAGGACACGCAAAGCUUAUCCUGGGGCUUAGCAGCCAUAAACUGCCUCAGGCCUCUGAGGGGAGGGGGGAAGAAAAAAGGCAGGAGGCUGAAUGGAGGCGGGGUUGGAUACUGAUCAAAAUGAACACACAAAAAAGAAGGCAAAGGAUAUAACAGAAGAUGGAAAGCAAGAAUAUACCCAAAGUAACAAUGGUACAAUGACAGAAGAAAUUAUUGUUUUUUAAACAGCUCUGGCUGCAGAAGAAAAAAACCUGAGGCAGAAGGUCCUCCAAUGUCACUAUUGUGGUGGUUGGAAGAAGACCGAGGGAGGUAACACCUGAGGAGAAGGUUAUGUCACUAGAGGGGGCAGGGCUAUUGCCAAAAGGCUUUAUCAGCUCUAGAAGGUUCCCUGGGUCAUGUCAACAGAGGCACAGACGUCCACAGUGUGAAGGACAAUAGGACCACUACCAAGAAUGUGAGUGAGUUUGAAAAGUGGUGGAUUAAUUGUGGCAAGCAAGAGCUGGCCAGUAGGUGGUGUUGUGGCAAUCGCACCAGGAACCUGCUUCCUCUUUGACCUCCUGUCAGAUCCUGGAAGAAAAGAUGAAAAUCUGCAGAAGUGUCUGGACGCUCUCCUUCACAAACCUGUGUGUUCCUUAUUCCGAAGGUAGCCCAUCUAAGUUCUGAUAUUCAGACAGUUUACAGAUGAUGUCCUUUCAUCCGAAUAAAGAGUAUUGGGUUGCAUCCCAACAUCUGGAGUGCUGGCUCUGUCAUUGGAAACAACUUCCACUUGCAGAAGGAGAGAGAGCAGCAUUCCACAAAAGGUUCUGUUGGUGUCCCUAAGGAGAUGCAACCAGAUGUCAGAGGUAGUAGGAACACACCCCAUUUCAUCCCAGACCAUGUCAGUGUGCACCUUGGUUGGACCAGGAAGUACAACAGAAUACAACCUCAAGUCAUCCUGCCUUUUGAUUAUUAUUUGGGAGGCAAUACAUUUACAAGCUCUGUUUUCUUGGGAAUGUAAUUCAGGCAGACCUAUUGUCACUUGAGGCCUUCCCACAACAUAAGUCAACCACCUAUAACCUUACAAGGGUCUUAAGCGAAACUAUGGAUCCACUCCCUUCUUUCUGCUCCAGUGCUUCACCUUGGCCUUAAGGCAACUAGGUUUGCUGUUCCUUCUAGUUUUUCUCAGUUGUCAUAGAGAUUGAGACCCUCUUAUCUGCACAGCUCACAGCUGAAACUGAACAUAAGUCCAGAGAUUAUUAUGGAGGCUCUCAUGGCCUCUUCAUUUCUCUCCUGAAAACCAGUUUCUAACACAAACUUCUGCCAUCUAUGAAAAGAGGGAGUAACAAAGCUGACCUAGUACUUUCCUCCACUUAGCCACUUUUAGAGUUCUCCAUCCAUUUUGUCUAAGAGUGUACAUCUUAGUACUUGUCAUAUCAGCAUACAGAAAUGUAAAGUCUAUUGCAAAUACAAUAAAACAAGCUUAACAGCAGUGGAACAA